Molecule: ribosomal RNA, 250 nt
Filed under: uncultured bacterium
Lineage: Bacteria
Description: partial 16S ribosomal RNA
Rfam family: Bacterial small subunit ribosomal RNA
Source: RNAcentral
UGGGGAAUCUUGGACAAUGGGGGAAACCCUGAUCCAGCGACGCCGCGUGACCGAUGAAGGCCUUCGGGUCGUAAAGGUCUUUCGACGGGGACAAUAGUGAUGGUACCCGUAUAAGAAGGAGCGGCUAACUACGUGCCAGCAGCCGCGGUAAUACGUAGGCUCCAAGCGUUGUUCGGAAUUACUGGGCGUAAAGCGAGUGUAGGCGGUCCGUCAAGUCGGUUGUGAAAUCUCCUGGCUCAACUGGGAGGGU